RNAcentral lists this ribosomal RNA (263 nucleotides) under uncultured archaeon. Its description in RNAcentral is "partial 16S ribosomal RNA". It matches the Rfam family "Archaeal small subunit ribosomal RNA", at positions 748 to 1009 of the family's 1478-position model. The record is from RNAcentral.
CAGCCCUAAACGAUGCGCGUUAGGUGUAUCGGUGACCACGAGUCACCGAGGUGCCGAAGGGAAACCGUGAAACGUGCCGCCUGGGAAGUACGGUCGCAAGGCUGAAACUUAAAGGAAUUGGCGGGGGAGGCACCACAACGGGUGGAGCCUGCAGUUUAAUUUGGACUCAACGCCGGGAAGCUCACCGGAUAAGACAGCGGAAUGAUUGCCGGGCUGAAGACCCUGCAUGACCAGCUGAGAGGAGGUGCAUGGCGUAGUCGUGU